RNAcentral lists this transfer RNA (73 nucleotides) under Rhipicephalus sanguineus (brown dog tick). RNAcentral's name for it is "transfer RNA alanine (anticodon CGC)". It matches the Rfam family "tRNA". Rfam says of the family: Transfer RNA (tRNA) molecules are approximately 80 nucleotides in length. Their secondary structure includes four short double-helical elements and three loops (D, anti-codon, and T loops). The record is from Rfam by way of RNAcentral. Lineage: Eukaryota; Metazoa; Arthropoda; Arachnida; Ixodida; Ixodidae.
GCCGCGGUAGCUCAGUUGGUAGAGCAUCGGACGCGCUUUGCGAAGGUCGCAGGUUCGAUCCCUGCCCGCGGCA